CUGGCGGGGUGGGGGGGGAGGGCCGGGAUGGGCUGGAGCCCUGGUGCCCAAGUGCCCAGGUGGGCCUCGGAGGGAGGCUGUGUCAAACCACGAAUCUGUCAUUAAACUAAACCGUGCAGACCUGAGCAGGGGGCAGGCUGCGGACUCGGACAGGCAUGGGGCUCCAUCCCAUGGACGGGACACGUGGUGAAGCCACUGUCUGGGUUCAGUGUGGGCCAGUUUGGACCCCUGGGCCACUGCUGUGGUCCUUGGGGCAGCAGGGAUGACGAGGGAUGGGGGUGCUGCGGGUGGGUGGCUCACCUCUGGGUUGCAAUCGCUCCCCUCUGUCCUCUUCUGUCCCUCCCAUGUGGGGUCUUCCUGGACACGGGGACCUCAGCAGGGGAGGGGGAAUGCCCCAGAUAGCUGCAAGUGAGGUGACCCCUUGGCCUUCUAGGAACCAGCAGCUCUGGCCAUCUCUUCCCUCCCUCUGCCCAGAGCCAGGGCAGCUGGGACCUCUUGUCCAACCUGGUGCCCACAGGCCUCCCACCGUGGUCCCCACCCUGGUCUGCAGGGGAUGAGGGGGUCUCGGAGGGCAGGUGCCUGUGGACUGUGCUAGGUGGAUCCACGGUUUGACCCAUGCUGCAGCAAGAGUGAAAGUGGGGGACCCCGGGUCCAUCGGGGCAGGACGGCAGCCCACCCUAUCCCACCAACACCCAGGGGCCCACGCUGGGCAUAUAGCCAAUGGAGUAGAGGAACAGGUGCCGGAGCCAGGUCACCUGCUGGCCUGGACAAUCGCAGACACUGUGCGUGGACGGGAGCCUAGCCCCCGCCUCUCAGGUGUGGCUGUCACAGCGACUUCCUGCCCGAGACCGCGGGAUGGAAGGCUGCACCUGACGCACGCCCCAGCCUGGUGAGCAAGGCCAGCAUCAUGGGCACGAGUCAGGUGGGGAGCACGGGCCGGGACGCGAUGCGGUGGGGAGGGUGCUUCACGCUGGGGUCCUGCCCCCAAGCCCACAGCCCAGUCUGACCGUGACGCACGCACCAGACGAACCCCAUCUGAGGGGCAUCCUUACAGUGUGCCGACCUGUUCCCCUCGGAACUGUCCGGGUCAUCACAAACUCACAGACACGAGGACCCAACGUCCUGUGGUGCCCUGCGUGGGAACCUGGGACAGAAACAGGCUAGGAAGGAACAACUGAGACGCUCGGAAUACAGUGUGGGCUUCCAUGGACGGUAAUGGGUCAAUAGCCACGGAUUUGUUGUGACACGUCCCAUACCCGUGUCAGAUGUUGGUAUGAGGAAGCUGGGUGUGGGUACAUGUGAAUUCUCCGUACUGCCUCUGCACUGGCUCUCUAAGUCUAAACUGUCCUACAAGACGUUUUAUUUAAAACCGUGAUUUUGUCCAGCACCCCAGCCUCACAGCACAGAGGGGAGCAGGCACUUUGGAGCUGGCUCUGCUGUCCACUCACUCAGUGAUGUCGACUACCUAUCUGCCCUCCUGUCCACCUGCCCGCCUGCCCACCUGCCUGCCUGCCCGCCUGCCUGCCUGCCCGCCUGUCCGCCUGUCCGCCUGUCCGCCUGUCCGCCUGUCCACCUGUCCACCUGCGCCUUCACCCACCCACCCUUCAUUCACUCGCCCCCUCUCACACCCUUUCAUUUUGUUAAUUCUUGAAGCUCUUCCCUUGCUCACUUGCUCCCACCUGCCCUCUGCCUGCUGCCUCAGUUUACCUAGGAAGGGCGGUAGGGAUGCUGGCACCGAAGCAGGUCCUUAGCACUUGGAGGUCACUCUGCCUGGGCCGGGAGGUGGCAGCCUCUCCCCUCCGUCCUGACAGCCAUCCAAAGGGAGCUCUGCGAGAGGCGCCCCCUACUCCAUCAGCAGAGGCCGGGGGCGGGGCAGCAGAGCGGACUUGCCCACCCAGGAAGAGAAGCAGGUUAGCACCUCAGUGCGCCCAGGGCACCGGUGACUCGUCACCUCCAUGCAGCCCUGUGUGUGGGGCUCUGCCGGCUGGGCCCCUCACCGGGGUGGGGCUGAGUGCCAUGAGCUUUGUGGGGGCCACACGGGGGCCUGAACAGCCUCUGGCCUUCUCUCCGCCCUUUGCCCUGAUUCUGAACUGUCUCCCAGAAGCCUAGACGUGUCCCACCUGGGGUAGCUUCGCCUGACGCAGGGAGGGGCUGGAGGCUCUCCUUCCUGACUGGCUUAAGUCUGGGUCAGCUGUGUGCACCGCAUUGGACCCCGUGUCCCCCAGAAGUGCCCCCCCAGGUUUGCAGGUCACAUCCUGGCCCAGACACUCAGCAGCUGAGCCAGAUGCAGGCUCAGGGCGCUGGGCGCUGCUCUGUCUGCCCCGGGAAUCUGGCGCAGAGCUUGUCCCAUGGAGGGGCGGGGAGGGGCCCAGGAAGGGGCUCUGAUGCACACAGAGGAGUUGAGAGGCGGCAUUACCUCCCAAGUACCAGGGACAAACUUUGGAGGGGGCCUCCAUUCUGCUGAGCAGCCCCAUCAGCAGGGGGGCCCGGGCACCAUGGAGUCCCUGCCCUGCCCAGGCUGCCCUCGCCACCUGGCUGAAACUUGGUGUCCAAUGACUGAAGGAGCAGACCAGGGUCUGGAGGCCCCCAGGGUGUGGGAGCAGGACAUUCAAACCUCCCCAGGCUUCCCUGGGUCAGCGGGGGGGAAGUGGAGGCAGGAGCCAGCAGCCCCCACCCUGGACCAAGGCCUCACCAAGGAGCGUGGACUGGACCCUCCCCCCGCCCCCGGUGGUCCCCAGACCCCCCAGGCUCCCUUCAUGGCAAACGUUUCCAGCCCACUCCUGGAAUUUUCUUUAACCAGUGGUGGGGCAAUGUCCGAUGGCCAAAGCGGCGAAGCACCCACUGCCUCCUGUCCAGGGCAGCGUGCACACGCCCUCCGGGGACCGAGGGAGCACCCCGUCCGUGGCCUGGCCCCACUCAGCUGCAGACCCCACGUGCCGAGGAGUCCCGUGGACCAGAUGCUCUGUCUCCCGGAGGCAGGGGCGCAGGAUCGGGUCGGAUGAGACGAGGCUUUAUAUUUGGGUGGUGGGCUCAGUGCCAGCACCCUACAGACUGGAACUUGCGCCCCCAGAUUCGGGGCCCCGGCCCUGUCUCCAGGGCGUGGUGGAAGGUGGGCUCUUACAUGAAGUCGUGAGGUUGCGGUCCGCGACGUCCCUGCGGUCUGUCUGCAGACCAGGAAGGGGGGGUGCUCCCCAGGAACCGCAUGCAGGGGCCCUGACCUCGGGCUUCCAGCCUCCAGAACCACGGGAAGACCCGUGAGCUGGGGAAGGCCCCGCCUGUGGCGUUGCAGCGGCCGGCCCUGGUGGACUAUGCCCGCAUCCCUCAUACGCUCACCUCCCAUGUCUUGAUCAACUCUGAGCCAGUUCUGGGGAAACCAGUGCAUCAAAGAGACGGGACCCAGCAACCUCGUGGGCCUGUCUGGAGUGAUGGGAGGUCCAUGGUGGAAGGGGCAGGGAGGCCCGGGGGAAAGCAGCACAGGCGUGUGGGGGAGGUGGUGAGAAAAGCAGGAGGAGCAGUCACUCCUGGGCAGGACCUCUAGAUGUCCCAAGGCUUUUAUUUCAAAUGAUCUCUACACCCAACGCAGGGCUCGAACUCCAGCGAGGGAGCCGACUGACACCCCCAAAGAUAGAAGUUAUUUCUUAAGCAGGUUUGGUGGGCAGACAAGUUGCACGGUCGUUGGGAGGGCGCCCCAUGCCCCCUCUCCCCACACGGUGUCCCCGUUACUAAAACCCUGCAUUCGCGGGGGCACGGUUACAAUCGGGGGGCCAGUAUUGGUACGCCGUCAUUGCCUGAAGCCUGUGGCUGACAUGAGGGGUCACCCUUGGUGGUGUACAUUCUGGGGGUUCGGAAGACACGUUGCCCCCCAUGACGGUGUUGCACAGAUGACAGUGAGCUCUGCCUGUUCACCCCCCCCACCGGAGAACCCCGAGAAACCCUGAUCUGUACCGUGUGUCGUUUGUGCCUUUUCCAGAAUGUCCCGGAGUCGGAAUCCUACAGUAUGCAGCCUUUCCUCUACUCAGUCAGAUGCCUUUAAGGUUCCCCACGUCUUUCCAUGGCUUCAUGGCUCCUUUCUCUUCGUCCCAGAUUCAUAGGCCAGGGUCUGGAUGGGCCUCCGUGUAUUUAUCUGUCCACUUCCUGAAGGACAUCUUGGUGGCUUCCAAGUUGGGUCAGUUACGAAUGGCGCGGCUACAGCUAUCAAGAAAGCUGCUGUGAACAUCCUGGGGGCAGGUCUGGUGUGGCCAUAAGCUUUCAGCUCCUUUGGUAAAGAGCAGGGAGCGUGAGUGCUGGAUCGUGUGGCGACAGGAUGUGUCGUCUUGUAAGAAGCCACCAGACUGUCUCCCAGAGUGGCUGCCCCACUGUGCGUCCCCACCAGCCAAAAAAUGAGCGUUCCUGCUGCUCCACGUCCUCACCAGACUGGGGCUGGAUUUGGGCCGUUCCAGCAGCUGCGCACAGGGAGCUUACUACUGUUCUGCUGUGCGUUUCCCCGACGCCGCGUGACACCGUGCGUCUCCGCUGCCGGUCUCUCCACCCAGGUCUUCCGCCCACGUGUAGGUCGGGCUGUUUUCUUCUUCUGGGGUUCUCAGAGCCCGUUGCAUAUUUCGCAUGCAAGUCCUCAUUAAAGCCCUCCUGUACCUGCAGAAGCCCGACCCCAGCAGGACCUCUGCAGACCCUGGCGGCAGCUUGGACGUGAGACACUCCGGCCCGUGUUCCCAGUGCCCGGAACGCUGUCAGUUUGGAUUGAGACAAGUCUGUGCAGCAGGCCCGGGCUGCCGUGCGAGGCUGCUGGGCCUGAGGUGACCGGUGGCUCCCCGGAGCAUCUGUGGCACACGACGAUGCCAUCUGGAGCCUCGGGCUGGGCGCGCAGGGAAGCCACAGCCCAGCACCCUCGGCAUCCCGAGCAGAGCCCCGCCACCCUCUGGGAGCAGCUCCCCGCCCGAGAAACAGACUCUGGCUGGCGUCGGGCCUUGGUGGAGACGGAACGUGUGAGCCUUGCCCUGCACGUCCGUGGGGAGCUUGUCCGACCCACGGAGCACAUGGUGCCGUCCCGCAGAGCUGGGUGGGCAAGGCUCUAUGCCACUGUUGCCCGGAAGGCGCGAAUAUGAGACUGGGCCCAACGCGUGUUCCGACGGCACAAUGAGUACCGUGAAGAAGUGGCUCUAGGCCCAUGGUGCCCGCUCCGGCUACGACCUCGGCCAGUGCGUCUGGCUUCGCAGGAAGUUCCCCACGACCUGAUAUGGAUGGAAAAAUCGGGGCCUGGCUUACAAAUGCUUCCGCAGCAUCUGCAGACACCCUCUGACCGAGCAAGACGCCUGCAGCCCCUCUGAGGGACGGCGGCAACCUGGAGGCCCAGGGGCCGCGGCAGAAACUCAGCAAGCCUCCGCUUGCUCCAUCUUGUAGGCGGAGGGGCCAGAGCACAGGUCUCCACCGAUUCACCACCAGUGGCUAACAGCGCGGCUGAUGGUCAGGGACCUGGAAGGAACGCAACUGGAAACUUGGUAGCAGGACGUGAGGGAAGGAGGCCUGUGGGUCGACUUCAGCACAACGCACAGGAUGGGUAGAUACUGUGACUUGUGUGAACGCCUCCUGGAGAGCUGCCUGCCUCCCCCGAGGACAAGCUCAGGUACCAGGUAGACAGCUUGACCCUCCUGUGGGCAUCAGCCUGCCUCCCUUCCAGCCGCUGUCGUCGGCAAGGGGCUCGUGAGUGAAGGGACCCUAUGUCUCAGCUCUGAUGGGGGUCUUACUCUGCAGACACUGACACCCCAGCACCGUGUGGGGGACCCACCAGCUUCCCUGGGCCAGUGCAUCACACUGCACGGCCUCUGUCAAGGAGGGGGCACCACCCUGGCCUCACGAGUAGAUCCCAACUCCGAGCGUGGGUCCGCUUUCCCUGGCCAUGGCGCUUCUGCCCAAACCCCAGCCGUGGACUUACAGAGUGCUUGCUUCGCAAUCACGGCGUCUCACGGAACUUUCCUUCCCGCCAAGGAGCUCGAGUCACAGCCAGGGGCGUGGGACAAGGGGGCCCUGCUCAUGGGACUUGUCGGUCACUCUGAAGCAGUGGGCCCGAUAGGCCACGACGUGGCAGCUAAUGGGUGGCAAUGCUUUGCAGGGUGGGGACAGCACCUCCAGGGUGCGGGGUCCACUCUGGAUCCACAUGGGCUCUCGUGGCUCCAAUUUGUGGCUGCAGAGACCCCGGGGUUGGAGGGGGAGUGGCUGUGGUCGCUAUUACCUAAUGGAGCCCUCCAGCUGAGAUCGUGCCCUCCCGCCCCCGACUCCAGGCUCCCCUUGAUCGGAAGUCCGAGCGUGCGAGGGAAGGACCCCCAGUGGAGGACACACAGGUAGCCACGAAGCUGGAAGCUGAGACAGCCACCAGGCCACUUUGGGAUCCCUGUGCUGGAGAGCCGAUCCUAUCGCAGGGAGAGGGGUUAUUAUACAACGGGGCUGAGGCGGAGUAUGUCUGGAAUGCAGGCGAUCCCCUGGAGCACCUCAGAUUCCUGGGUUCUGGGACGAAAAUCAAGGGAAAAAUCACAGCCAUUGGCCCUGACCCUCCAGGAAUGAAGGCUCAGGUCCUCCCAUGAGGCCAGGAGCCACGAUCAGCAGAGUCUGUGCGGCGGGAGAGAUCAUGGGAUGGGGUGGAGGAAGGUGCUUACGGCGUGGCUGGGACCCCAUGGCCCGCUGCACAGCCAGGCCCGCAGCAGCGGUCUGUGUUCCUGCCUUACCUCCCAGGACACCGUGGGGUCCGAGUGCAGUCCCUGGAUCUCCUCCUUCACCCCUACGCUUUGGUAUACAGGUGCUCCGUUCAUGUCACCGGACUGGAAGCCUGAUACAUUGUCGUGGGCUGCCACUCGCCUGGACGAGGGCUGGCCCCUCUCCUGGGAGGGGGUGUUCUCAGGACGCGGCCUCAGCUGCGGCUCGCCAGGAAGGAGUGGUGGUGGUUGCCUGGCCCUGGAUAAGCUAAAAGCCACAGAACCGGACACUCUGGAAGAGUGAAUUUCGUGGCAUCUCCCUACAAAUUCUACUCGCCUCAACCUCCCAGACUCUCAUCUCCAGCCCCCGCCCCCAGGAGACCUCCAGGCUCAGCUGAGAAAGCAUGGGGCUCACUGCUGUGCUCCGAGGAUCUGUCCCUGCCUGUCAUCCACGUCGGAAAACAGUUGCCGCACAUGCGUCCCGUGCUCUGGCUGCUCACAGUGGAAGGUGAAUGUGGUGCGAGUCUCGCCAUCAUGGCCAACAGAGGGGCCUGGCCGUGCUGACUUUGAGCACCCAGUUGCAGGUUUCUCCAAAAUGUAAAGUUAAUAUUUUGCCUCUGUCGUUUACAUUUUGUGGGGACAGACCCUGAAACCGUGACUGUUGUCCUCAAACUGCUCCUCACGUGUCCUAGCAUCACGUGGUGAUUGACGCUCAAAUAAUCGUUACCAUGAUGCUUACCGAAGGACCACUCUCCAAUUUCACUGUUCCUCCUGCAUUUAUUAGGUGGAAUUCUGCGAGAGAGAGAGAGAGAGAGAGAGAACGAGCUUCUUCUCCUCUUCCUCCUCCAUGAGUGAGCACGUGGAUUUCAGGACGGACUCCUGAAUCUCUGUUUCAUGCGAUGUGCUGUGACUGUUACUCUCAUUGAUUUUGAUGCCAGAUAGGGCUGGUAGGAGCCCCUUCAAGCUGGCUCCUCAGUCAUUUUGAUAAAUUCCCACAGGCUUUCGAGCACCUUCCUUACUUUCCACUACACGAUGUUCCAGGUUCAUCUUGGACGUUCCCUUCCCCAGCCCUGGAGUCGGCCAUGGCCCCAGGAAGCUCUGGGUCCUUCAAGUGGAGAAUGGUAUUUAAAAGCCAAGAUCCGGAGGCUGGGUGCACAGCGCUAUCUGGGCAUCAGCUCUCCAGGGUGGAUCAGCUGGGAACUCUCUCUCGCACAUCUACUCUCAUGCUCUGCCCAUCCCUGUACAUUACAAAUCACAACUUUACCGCGAUUCCCAUGGCUCGAGCCCAGCACCGCAGGGUCUGUACUAGACUCCCUCGUCCCACAUUUGUCGCUCCUUUCUCUGACCGCGACCCUGGCUUCCAUCAUCCUCAACACAUACACCUCAUUCUUCCCUGUUCACGUAAGUGACCUCCUGACUUUGCUGGCGUGUCCUCGUCCUUGAUCGCCGCCCCACCCCCCAGCCUCCUCUCCCCAGCCUGACUGUCUCAAAGGAAGGGAACCAAUAGAUAUGUUUUAAGCAAAUAAAAAAGAAAGAAACACAAGCCCCUCCCCUGUUCUUUGACCGCCUGGGAGACCCAGACCAGGCCAGGUGUCAGCCCUCCCCACUAUGCGUCACCAAGCGGAGUCGUGUCAUUUCAGGAGGAACGUGAAUUCCCGGGCAGACCUACCAGAAAAGAGAAGCCACGGUCUGACGCUCACGCAGCAUUCGGAGCAGAACUAUGGACACGGAUGGGCCAAGAGGUUCAAGGAAUCCAGACAGAAACCCGCACGCACAAGGGAUGGUGUUUGUGACACGAGGAGGGGAUGAGAAGGCGUAUCCCGGGGGCCGGGGGCCAGCAGCAGGGGUGGGAAACAUGGCCGCAGAGCGACACCGCGAGCAGUCACGUGGCGGCUCGGGCACCUAGGCAGAUGCAUCAGUGAGGUGAGCCGUCCCCUGUGGGGAUCAGGGGUGGUUCAGGAAGCUGAGAGGCACGGGCAGGUGAGCACAGAUAGGCCGAUCGGACAAGAGCACCACACGCGGACAAGAGAGAGGAGAGCAGGAGAUGCUCAAGGAAGGAAAAAAGUAAGGGCCUCAGAAUGAAAGAAACACAAGCAAGGGCUCUCUGGAGCCCAUAGGACAGAUGAGGAGGAAACCACACAUCCUAGUGACACUUUUUUUUUUAAAGAUUUUAUUUAUUUAUUUGACAGAGAUAGAGACAGCCAGAGAGAGAGGGAACACAAGCAGAGGGAGUGGGAGAGGAAGAAGCAGGCUCAUAGCAGAGGAGCCUGACGUGGCUCGAUCCCGUAACGCCGGGAUCACGCCCUGAGCCGAAGGCAGACGCUUAACCGCUGUGCCACCCAGGCGCCCCCAUCCUAGUGACACUUGAAAAUGCCAAAGUUCUGGAACAUUCCAGAGUAACCCACAGACCACCUACAAGAUAAGAAUGAGAUUCGUAACAUUCUCCUCAAGAAUUACAUGAACAAAGAAUUACAUUCUGAAAGCGCAGAAGGUAAAUAACUUGGCGAAGAGGAUUUUAUCGGGUAUAAUUACUAUUUAAAGAUCAUUUCAGAAACAACAAGCCUCAGCAUAUCUAGAAUGUUUGUCACAGAAACACCCGCUUUGCCCACAAAAUUCUCAAACAAGAGAAAUAGAUCUUGGAGGGUGCACGGAGAGCCGUGGAAGGUGGGGAGGGACCAGAUACCCACUCACGAGGCCGCAGUCACCCACAAGAAAACACAGUAAGAUAUACACAAGGUACCACUUACCAUUGUAACAAAAUCAGUAUCUCAAAAUUUCAGUCCUCCCUGUGGAGAAUCCUAGACUCAAACGAGGACCCUGGUCGAUAUUGUUUGGAGUAACAGACAAACAUCUCAUGCGAGGAUGCCUUCAUAGGACAACGGUUCCGAUCUUCCUCAAGUUGACCGAGACGUCCAGUGCAAUCCCGAGCGCAUGGUCAGCUGGGAGUUGGAAAUGCUUGACGUACUUACUCACACUGAUAAUGGAGUAUAGACGUCCACCAGAAGGACUGUCAGCUUGAAACAAAGAACAGCAGAGGGACUUGCCUGCCUGACAUAAGGACUUAAGAGGAAGCCUGAUGUAAAAAUCCCAAACUGCACGGGAUUGCCACAAGAACGAAGACUAAAGCGGACAGCUUGGAGACAAAUGCUUGCAUACAUACAUGUAUCCCAUGCUUAAAAAUACUUCUCUGUUCACGGGAGCCUUUCUGUGAACGGGAAAGCCAUUAAAUGAAAAAAUUUCCCAUUACUUUAGAGACAAAAAUUAUGAUGUGCUCCAUUCCAACCCGAUACCCUCCUCAAGCUUCCACAGAUAAAAUAAUGUGUCAGUUGAGGAAUAAACAUAAAUGUGUACAGAGAACAUACGGAUUUUAAAAAUCAGCUUGUCAAUUUUUACAGAAAAUCCUGGUGGGAUUUUAAUUGGGAUUGUGUUGAAUGUAAUGAUCAACUUGGAGAAAAUUAAUAUCUUAAUAUUGGAUCUUCCAAUCAAUGAAUACCAGGUAUCUGUCCAUUUAUUUAAGUCUUUUACAAUUUCUUCCAUCAGUGUUUUGUAGAUCUCAGUGUGCGGUUUUGAACGUCUUUUGCCAUAUUUAUAUCUAUGUAUUUAAUAUUUUUGAUGUUAUUGUAAGUGGCAUUUUGAAGUUCAUUUCCCAAAUGUUCUUUGCUAGUCCCCUGCAAUACAAUUCAUUGUCUAUAUUGAUCUUGUAUCUUGCAACCUUGCUAAGCUCAUUUUAAUUAGAAUACUGUUUUAGUACAUUUAGUCAGAUUUUCUUCAUAGGUGAUCGUGUUCUCUGUAAGAACGGUUUGCUCUUUCUUUCCAAUCUGGAUGCCUUUUGAUUCUUUUUCUUGCGUUAUUGCUCUGGCUACAACCUACAGAACAAGGUUAUGUAGAAAUUUGAGAAGAGACAUCCUUGUCUGGUCCCUGGUCCUAGAGGGAGGGCAUCCAGUUUGUCAGCAUUAAGUUGGAUGUCCUUUAUCAGGUUGAGAAAAGUUCCUUUGAUUCCUAGUUUGUUCGGAUUUUGAUCAUGAAUGACUUGGAUUUUGUCCGAUGAUUUUCCUGUAUCUAUUGAGAUAACGAUGUGGUUUUUCUUUUUAAAUUUAAUGUUGUCAAUUAAUUGAGUUGAUUUUUUGAAUGUUAAACUGCGUUCCUAGAAUAAACCCCACUGUAUA
Ailuropoda melanoleuca (giant panda) is the source of this 10849-nucleotide long non-coding RNA. RefSeq lists it as uncharacterized. Lineage: Eukaryota; Metazoa; Chordata; Mammalia; Carnivora; Ursidae. The record is from RefSeq and is a predicted model, not a curated record. The transcript has 4 exons.